RNAcentral lists this transfer RNA (74 nucleotides) under Clostridiales bacterium CHKCI006. Its description in RNAcentral is "tRNA-Gly". It matches the Rfam family "tRNA". From Rfam's summary of the family: Transfer RNA (tRNA) molecules are approximately 80 nucleotides in length. Their secondary structure includes four short double-helical elements and three loops (D, anti-codon, and T loops). RNAcentral also lists the same sequence under 1 other name. The record is from RNAcentral. Lineage: Bacteria; Bacillati; Bacillota; Clostridia; Eubacteriales.
GCGAGUGUAGUUCAAUGGUAGAACUUCAGCCUUCCAAGCUGACUACGUGGGUUCGAUUCCCAUCACUCGCUCCA